Molecule: long non-coding RNA, 1157 nt
Organism: Cotesia glomerata
Lineage: Eukaryota; Metazoa; Arthropoda; Insecta; Hymenoptera; Braconidae
Exons: 6
Source: RefSeq, a predicted model, not a curated record
GAAAGUUACCGAAUAUUUAAAAAAAACAAAAUUUUUAUCUAUGAAGAGAGUAUUUUUAUUCUUAAAAUUUCUUCGGAAAAUUCCAUCAGGUGGAUAUAUCCAAAUUUCGAACAAGAAAACAAAUGUUGCUAAUAAUAACCCAAUGACAACGACUUUAAAAAUAAAACCCAUGUCAUCCAUAGUCAAAGGGCGAUAUUGAGUAGGAUCACGAGGUCUAGGUUUAAAGAUUACUUUUUGAAUAACGUAAUUAUUGAUCCCACUUUCAAAGAGUGUUAAUAACAAUCUUUUAACCCUGGGGAAAAUUGGCCAAUUGCGGCGUGCGUAGUAUGAAUGAAACAGCUCUGGAAUCAGAGUUUUUUUGGGCAUAUGGCAGUGGGCAUAUCCAACAAGCGCAGUGUAGCCGAGGUACAACUCUUCCUCGACGUAAGCCUCGUUAGUUUUCAGUGAAGUACAAUCCAUUGAUUUUUUGACAACCUGAACGUUAGUAUGAUUAUUCUUUCUCAAAACUUCCUCUAUCCAGAGGGUGGUGAACACAGUCAUGUUCAAUUUCUUCAUUUCGGAAAGAGUCUCAAGAUUGCGAAGGCUUUUUUCAGCGGUGAAGAUCUUCGCUAAAUUUCCCUGGACUACUGCGUUGAUUAUCAUGAAGACGAUGAGGAUGCUGCCGAAGAAAAGUCUUCCUCGGCCGGUUGUCGGCAAGGUAGGCAGCGAACGGUGAAUCCGAAAAUGCUGGUAAGCAAAAAGAGGAUUGCGAUGCUCAGAGGAAGAAAUGAGAAGAGUUUCUGGGUGCUGCUGAGAUAUCCGCGGUGAGGAGUUACCGCUGUGAUUCCCGUCUGCAGGAGAAAGUGCCCGAAGUCAACUUCCAGGCCUGGCUCGCGGAUGAACAGAUUCUUUGUUAGAAAUGGAGAAGAAACUUCAGUCCAGUUGUACUUGUCGUAAACUUGAUUUUAAGUCUAAAGAGGUGGAGAAGAUCUUUUGCCGAGGAAUAGAAAAAAGAUUAAGAUGAUGGAGAGGAUUUUGGCUGUCGAACGUCAAAGGAUCAUCAGAUGAUCUCCGAGUGUGAGUUUCAUAUCUCUACGGCAUAUCCAAUCGCAGAGAAUAGCCGUGGCGAGAAUUGAAUGGGAAUAGAGAAAUGCAAGUAAAAGGGUGAUCAUGACUGC